UAGAGAACCUCGGUUAUGUAAUUAUUACCCCGGUAUGUCUGUUUUUCGAGAAGGCGAUUCCGACGCGAUUCGUUUUACCGAACUGCAAGUCAUUAUUUUUUUUCCCGCAUUCACAAUUGACCAUUAUGACGGAAGCCUGGAGGCUCUUCUAGGUUAGUGCAGUGUUCCUUCAUCCUGAUCCUGGGGAAUCAAAGGGGGCGGGGAGGAAGAGAGCCAGUGUGAAGCAGCAGAGUCUCAGCAGCAACCUCUUCAUCCUGGAAAGAGCGGACCAAUCAGGACAGCCAUAUUUCAGUCCCGCCCCUCAGGUCCAGGAAGUAUGUCAGGAGGUGGAUGAGUUCAUCUAUGUGGCCAAUGCAGAGACGGGAAGAGGUAACACCAAGACUCCAACACAUUCCUCAUACUUGCUCCUAUUCCUAGGCCCUUGUUGCCAGCCAGAUAAUCUUGUCAAGCUAUCGCAACAUCAGGCUGGUUCCACCAGGCUACCUUCCAGGACCAGAUCCAGGGAAAGAUCAGGCUCGUUCCACCAGGCUACCUUCCAGGACCAAAUCCAGUGAAAGGUGGUGAGGGGGACAGAUCCAGGCAUUGGUGGACCCUGCCUAGUGUUCAUCCUCCAGAACCCUCCUUGUCCUGACUUUUGUGUCCAGAGAGGAACCAGACUCAAUCAGAACCACUAGUCCCAGUACUGCUAGAUUAAAGACCAGGACCCCCAGUGUGGAUAUUGCACAGAGGCUCUGCCUGUGCCUGCUGCCCAACCCCUGGAUUGUCUGUCUGUCUGUGUAGUGUCUGUCUGUCUGUGUAGUGUCUGUCUGUUUAUGUAGUUUAUGUAGUGUCUGUCUGUCUGUGUAGUUUAUGUAGUGUCUGUCUGUGUAGUGUCUGUCUGUGUAGUGUCUGUCUGUCUAUGUAGUGUCUGUCUGUCUGUCUAUGUAGUAUCUGUCUGUGUAGUGUCUGUCUGUCCUGUCUGUCUAUGGUCUAUGUAGUCUGUCUGUCUGCUAGGGUGCUCUGGUCUCAGGCUGUAGCUAUCUGUCUAAGGAACUACCUUCAGCACAAAUGCUUCUGAAGGAAUGUUCUACCUCUGAUGUGCCUUGUUUAAAUGAAUCGCAAAAUAAAAAGUCAUUAUUGGGUAAAUAUUAUUUAAUAACCCUGUAGUAAUUUUUUUGUGAAUAAGUAGUGGGUUGUGAAACAAAACAGAAGUGAAGAGAACUACUGUUUAACUGUAGCUACGGUACUUUAGUGAAGAUAAUGAAGGGUUUUGGUUAUCACAUUAUUUU
Oncorhynchus tshawytscha (Chinook salmon) is the source of this 1268-nucleotide long non-coding RNA. Lineage: Eukaryota; Metazoa; Chordata; Actinopteri; Salmoniformes; Salmonidae. The record is from Ensembl.